GAUGAACGCUAGCGAUAGGCUUAACACAUGCAAGUCGAGGGGCACCGAGGGUAGCAAUACCUGUCGGCGACCGGCGCACGGGUGAGUAACGCGUAUGUAACCUGCCCGCAACAGAGGGAUAACCCGGCGAAAGUCGGACUAAUACCUCAUAAAACAGGGGUUCCGCAUGGGGCUAUUUGUUAAAGAUUUAUUGGUUGCGGAUGGGCAUGCGUGCCAUUAGGUAGUUGGUGAGGUAACGGCUCACCAAGCCAUCGAUGGUUAGGGGUUCUGAGAGGAAGGUCCCCCACACUGGUACUGAGACACGGACCAGACUCCUACGGGAGGCAGCAGUGAGGAAUAUUGGUCAAUGGGCGAGAGCCUGAACCAGCCAAGUCGCGUGAAGGAUGACUGCCCUAUGGGUUGUAAACUUCUUUUACAGGGGAAUAAAAUGAGAUACGUGUAUUUUAUUGCAUGUACCUGGAU
RNAcentral lists this ribosomal RNA (462 nucleotides) under Tannerella forsythia. Its description in RNAcentral is "bacterial SSU rRNA". It matches the Rfam family "Bacterial small subunit ribosomal RNA", at positions 28 to 484 of the family's 1533-position model. The record is from RNAcentral. Lineage: Bacteria; Pseudomonadati; Bacteroidota; Bacteroidia; Bacteroidales; Tannerellaceae.